GAUAGCAAUAGCAUUAGCACUGGUCUCUCCUCUGGGCCCCUGCCAAGGUACAGCAUCUGAUAGCAAUAGCAUUAGCACUGGUCUCUCCUCUGGGCCCCCAGGUACAGCAUCUGAUAGCAAUAGCAUUAGCACUGGUCUCUCCUCUGGGCCCCUGCCAAGGUACAGCAUCUGAUAGCAAUAGCAUUAGCACUGGUCUCUCCUCUGGGCCCCCAGGUACAGCAUCUGAUAGCAAUAGCAUUAGCACUGGUCUCUCCUCUGGGCCCCUGCCAAGGUACAGCAUCUGAUAGCAAUAGCAUUAGCAUUGGUCUCUCCUCUGGGCCCCCAGGUACAGCAUCUGAUAGCAAUAGCAUUAGCACUGGUCUCUCCUCUGGGCCCACAGGUACAGCAUCUGAUAGCAAUAGCAUUAGCACUGGUCUCUCCUCUGGGCCCCCGGUAUAGCAUCUGAUAGCAAUAGCAUUAGCACUGGUCUCUCCUCUGGGCCCACAGGUACAGCAUCUGAUAGCAAUAGCCUUAGCACUGGUCUCUCCUCUGGGCCCACAGGUACAGCAUCUGAUAGCAAUAGCAUUAGCAUUGGUCUCUCCUCUGGGCCCCCAGGUACAGCAUCUGAUAGCAAUUAGCAUUAGCACUGGUCUCUCCUCUGGGCCCACAGGUACAGCAUCUGAUAGCAAUAGCAUUAGCAUUGGUCUCUCCUCUGGGCCCCCAGGUACAGCAUCUGAUAGCAAUUAGCAUUAGCACUGGUCUCUCCUCUGGGCCCACAGGUACAGCAUCUGAUAGCAAUAGCAUUCGCACUGGUCUCUCCUCUGGGCCCCCGGUAUAGCAUCUGAUAGCAAUAGCAUUAGCACUGGUCUCUCCUCUGGGCCCCUGCCAAGGUACAGCAUCUGAUAGCAAUAGCAUUAGCACUGGUCUCUCCUCUGGGCCCCCAGGUACAGCAUCUGAUAGCAAUAGCAUUAGCACUGGUCUCUCCUCUCGGCCCCUGCCAAGGUACAGCAUCUGAUAGCAAU
Oncorhynchus keta (chum salmon) is the source of this 1001-nucleotide long non-coding RNA. RefSeq lists it as uncharacterized. Lineage: Eukaryota; Metazoa; Chordata; Actinopteri; Salmoniformes; Salmonidae. The record is from RefSeq and is a predicted model, not a curated record. The transcript has 4 exons.